This 253-nucleotide ribosomal RNA is filed under the name uncultured bacterium. Its description in RNAcentral is "partial 16S ribosomal RNA". It matches the Rfam family "Bacterial small subunit ribosomal RNA", at positions 524 to 776 of the family's 1533-position model. The record is from RNAcentral.
UACGAAGGGUGCAAGCGUUACUCGGAAUUACUGGGCGUAAAGCGUGCGUAGGUGGUUUGUUAAGUCUGCUGUGAAAUCCCCGGGCUCAACCUGGGAAUGGCAGUGGAUACUGGCAAGCUAGAGUGCGGUAGAGGGAUGUGGAAUUCCCGGUGUAGCGGUGAAAUGCGUAGAGAUCGGGAGGAACACCGGUGGCGAAGGCGGCGCUCUGGACCGAGACUGACGCUGAGGCGCGAAGGCGUGGGGAGCAAACAGG